Molecule: unclassified non-coding RNA, 378 nt
Filed under: uncultured Paenibacillaceae bacterium
Lineage: Bacteria; Bacillati; Bacillota; Bacilli; Caryophanales; Paenibacillaceae
Description: contains 16S-23S intergenic spacer region
Source: RNAcentral
UCCGGUUUGUCACCGGCAGUCAUCUUAGAGGGCCCACCAUGAUGUGCUGGCAACUAAGAUCAAGGGUUGCGCUCGUUGCGGGACUUAACCCAACAUCUCACGACACGAGCUGACGACAACCAUGCACCACCUGUCUUUCCGGUCCCGAAGGAAAGGCUCAUCUCUGAACCGGUCCGGAAGAUGUCAAGACCUGGUAAGGUUCUUCGCGUUGCUUCGAAUUAAACCACAUACUCCACUGCUUGUGCGGGUCCCCGUCAAUUCCUUUGAGUUUCAGUCUUGCGACCGUACUCCCCAGGCGGAAUGCUUAUUGUGUUAACUUCGGCACCAAGGGUGUGAUACCCCUGACACCUAGCAUUCAUCGUUUACAGCGUGGACUAC